UGAGUCCAGAAAGUUUUGAAGGAAAAAUGCUAUUCCAUCAUCAUUAUGUUCAUAAUUGUUUAUUUUUUCAAUCAUAAAAUAAUAAUAAUAAAACCACAUCAACUUGCUAUCCCUAGCAUGUUCACAUAAGGGAGAGACCUGGCGGCUGAGGUGGGAUGCUGGGCAUAAAAUGAAGAUUCCUUGAACCUUGUCUGGGCUCCAUGGGUUCACAAAAUAAAAAAAUCCUUUAAGCAACAGUCACAAGCACCUGUCCUGGCUGGUUUUACAUCAUUUAUAACACAAGCUACAGUUAUCUGAAAGGAGGGAACCACAAGUGAGAAAAUGCCUCCCUAAGACCCAGUUGUAAGGCAUUUUCUUAAUUAAUGAUCAGCGGGGGAAGGCCCAGACCAUUGUGGGUGGUACCAUCCUGGUGUGGAAGGCUUUGUCUAUGGUUGCUUUUAUUGGUUAAUGAAUAAAGAAGCUAUUUUGACCAGUGGUUUAGCAGAAUAGAGCUAGGUGGGGAAAACUAAACUGAAUGUUGGGAGAAAGAAGGCAGAGUCAGAGAAAAGCCAUGUAGCCCGGCUGGAGACAGGUGCUGGAACUUUAUUCAAUAAGCCACAGCCUCAUGGCGAUACACAGAUUAAUGGAGAUGGGUUAAUUUAAGAUGAGUUACCCAGAAAUAUGCUUAAGCUAUUGGCCAAACAGUAUUGCAAAUAAUAUGGUUUAUGUGUGAUUAUUUCUGGACUGCGCAGCUGGGAACAAACAAGCGGCCUCCUACAAUACCAUCCCUAGGUGGCGGCCCUGGGUUCUAUAAGAAAGCAGACUGCUCAAGCCACUAGGAGCAAGCCAGCACCCCUUCACGGCUUCUGCAUCAGCUUCUGAUUCCAGGAUUUCUACUGCUGUGAAGAGACACCUUGACCAUGGGAACUCUUAUAAAAGAAAGCAUUUAGUUGGGAGGUUUACAAUUCAGACAUUUUAGUCUGUUAUCAUCAUGGUGGGACACAGCAGUGUGCAGACGGACGAGGUGCUGGCGACGGAGCUGAGAGUCCUACAUCUUGAUCUGCAAGAGGAGCAAAGGGGAACUUCCAUGCCAAUACUGCAGAGAAGGCAGGAAUGGUGGAUGGGAACCUGCAGGACACGGCUGGUGACAGUGACCUCAGAGACGAGCAUCCGGCAUCGGGAAAAGGGGCUUGAAGACAAGCACGGGACACGGAGAUUGUAGAGUGUAGAACCCUGCCCUGGGAAGAGGAAGGAAGAGAAAAUGACUGUGUGAUCCACAGGGAGACCAUGGCCAGCGUAGACACCAUCUGAAGUCCCCCAGACCUCCCUUGGCUCGAGGGAGCUUCAGGAUCCUUAAAAAGUAGUCAGAUCUCCACUAUGGCUGUUCACGUGAGAAUUUUCCAUUUUCUCACUUAGGCACUCAGAUCUUUAGGGAGACCUGGUCUGUGUGUGGGAGCCAAAUCAGGUACAGGAAAACUCAGAACAAGAACCUAGGUGUGGCUGAUCUGGUAGAAGCCUUCACUCACCCACCCAUAGCACAUAUUUUUUUGAGCACCUGCUGUAUGCUAGCUACCAUUCUAGGAUCCAACUGUAUACCAGACAAUGCCUUCCUUUCAGGCACUUGUAGCUGAUGAGAAAAGGAGACUAUAAAACCAAAUAGGAUAUAAUGUGAUAUUCCUGGGUCCUAGGAUAUGAAUAUGUUCAGCUUUAGCAAAUGCUCCUAAGAAAUUUUCUAAAGUAGCUAGCAGGAGGGUAGCUAGCUACUACACCCUCAACCAACAGUGUGUGAAGGUCCAUAUCCUUGCCAACACUUGGCAGUUUCUUUUUCAUUUUAGCCAUUGUUUUGUAUCAUAGUUUAAAUGAAGUCAUUUGUGAAGUUGAGCACAUUUUCAAUGAUUUGUUUUGUCUUCUCUUUGGGUUCCUCCCCUUUCUCUCCCCUUCUUUCCCUUUCUUCCCCACUGCCUCUCUCUUCUUCAUCUGCGAGCGGCUUACUCCAGUCCACACAUCCCGAAGUGGUUGCUUGAUUUCUUGAAGCCAGCCAGGGAAGCACAGAAAGCCAGUAUGGCUGGAGUAGAGGGAAGGAAAUAGGGGCCAGAGAAACGUGGAGGAGGAGCACAGGUUCUGUAUGAGGCACAAUGUGAGCUGCUUCCAGCCUCUGCUGCCUUCACACCGCUGCAUCUUGACCUACGCUGUUGGGAACCCUUAGGGAUUUUAAUAUUCCCCAAGUGACAGCAAUGACCUCUCUCUGUCUCUGGACUCUGUCUGGGACUCCUUCGUAUUGGCAGAAGGGUCACAAAAGGAUGGCGUGAAGUUGGAGCAGAUGGUGCAUCCGUCCGUUGCUGAACUCUCCUGGCAGCCCAGAGGAAGACUUGAGACUGAAGUUGAGCCAGCAAAUGAGGCAGCGGAGAGAAAGCAGGGACUGUACCACAGGCUGAGCUAGCUGGUGGCCCAGCACCUGGAGGAGCGGUGAUCUCAGCACAUCUGGAGAACUGCAUG
Molecule: long non-coding RNA, 2475 nt
Organism: Alexandromys fortis (reed vole)
Lineage: Eukaryota; Metazoa; Chordata; Mammalia; Rodentia; Cricetidae
Exons: 6
Source: RefSeq, a predicted model, not a curated record